Molecule: long non-coding RNA, 264 nt
Filed under: Lathyrus oleraceus (garden pea)
Lineage: Eukaryota; Viridiplantae; Streptophyta; Magnoliopsida; Fabales; Fabaceae
Description: Pisum sativum (pea) long non-coding RNA (PSAT_LNC014654)
Source: RNAcentral
AAAAGGUUGCUAAAAAGAAAAAAAUUACAUCACCGAGCGAGCCGACUAAAGAAGAAACUACCAAAGAAACUAAACCGGUGAUUAAGUUGCCCUACCUUUAGAGAAUGACAAAGAAGGAACCUAGUGAGUCAGACUUGGAGAAAUUCAUGACAAUGUUUAAAAGGAUUGAGGGUCAUAUGGCUUUGUUUGAAGCACUUAAAAGGAUGCCCAUGUACAAGAAAUUCGUGGAAGAGGUAAUGGCUGAAAAGAAACCAACCACUGAAG